Molecule: small nuclear RNA, 107 nt
Filed under: Cavia aperea (Brazilian guinea pig)
Lineage: Eukaryota; Metazoa; Chordata; Mammalia; Rodentia; Caviidae
Source: RNAcentral
GUGCUCGCUUCGGCAGCACAUACACUAAAAUCGGAAAGAUACAGAGAAGAUCAGCAUGGCCCCCGUGCAAGGAUGACGCGCACAUUUGUGAAGCGUUCCAUAUUUUU